UCGAACGACGAAGAAAGUUUGCGCAACCGUUGCAUAGAGCGUGCUUUACGACAGAGCGUAGGAAAGCUUCGGUUUUCGGUAAUUCGGUUUGGGAAUAUUCCUCCGCGGUAUUGAAAGUGGCCAAAAUAACAAAAUCGGAACACAAAACCAGCAGAAAAGCACAGCAUUGUAAUUUCGGAAGCGUGCCAAGCUGGAAGUGGUCGCCAUUGUCGAUGCGCUAGAAAAUUGACUUCCACAUCGCUGGCUGAAGGAAGGUGGUUUCCCGGGGGAAUAUACCGAAAUACCGACGAUAAGCACGAAAUAAGAUCGACACGUGUCCGUGCAGCAUUCGGAUCGAUCGCCAUAUUGGAUUGGCACCCCGUGAAAGCAACGAGCACAACGGUUGCGAGAAGUUUACAUGAAGAUUGAUCCCUACUUCGAGGAGACCGACGCGAGCCUGAACUCACACCGAGUGGCAUUGGAGUGGGUCGCGUAGGAAGAGCGUGCGGAGUCAUCAAAAAACCCCUACAUAGGG
Molecule: long non-coding RNA, 514 nt
Organism: Armigeres subalbatus
Lineage: Eukaryota; Metazoa; Arthropoda; Insecta; Diptera; Culicidae
Exons: 4
Source: RefSeq, a predicted model, not a curated record